RNAcentral lists this ribosomal RNA (524 nucleotides) under Porphyromonas sp. oral clone BP1-90. Its description in RNAcentral is "bacterial SSU rRNA". It matches the Rfam family "Bacterial small subunit ribosomal RNA", at positions 8 to 521 of the family's 1533-position model. Lineage: Bacteria; Pseudomonadati; Bacteroidota; Bacteroidia; Bacteroidales; Porphyromonadaceae. The record is from RNAcentral.
AGAGUUUGAUCCUGGCUCAGGAUGAACGCUAGCGAUAGGCUUAACACAUGCAAGUCGAGGGGCAGCAUGAUCUUAGCUUGCUAAGGCCGAUGGCGACCGGCGCACGGGUGCGUAACGCGUAUGCAACUUGCCUUACAGAGGGGGAUAACCCGUUGAAAGACGGACUAAAACCGCAUACACUUGUAUUAUUGCAUGAUAUUACAAGGAAAUAUUUAUAGCUGUAAGAUAGGCAUGCGUCCCAUUAGCUGGUUGGUGAGGUAACGGCUCACCAAGGCGACGAUGGGUAGGGGAACUGAGAGGUUUAUCCCCCACACUGGUACUGAGACACGGACCAGACUCCUACGGGAGGCAGCAGUGAGGAAUAUUGGUCAAUGGGCGAGAGCCUGAACCAGCCAAGUCGCGUGAAGGAAGACAGUCCUAAGGAUUGUAAACUUCUUUUAUACGGGAAUAACGGGCGAUACGAGUAUUGCAUUGAAUGUACCGUAAGAAUAAGCAUCGGCUAACUCCGUGCCAGCAGCCGCGGU